Molecule: ribosomal RNA, 382 nt
Filed under: uncultured bacterium
Lineage: Bacteria
Description: bacterial SSU rRNA
Rfam family: Bacterial small subunit ribosomal RNA
Source: RNAcentral
AACGAACGCUGGCGGCAUGCCUAACACAUGCAAGUCGAACGAGACCUUCGGGUCUAGUGGCGCACGGGUGCGUAACGCGUGGGAAUCUGCCCUUGGGUUCGGAAUAACUCAGAGAAAUUUGAGCUAAUACCGGAUGAUGACGUAAGUCCAAAGAUUUAUCGCCCAAGGAUGAGCCCGCGUAGGAUUAGCUAGUUGGUGAGGUAAAGGCUCACCAAGGCGACGAUCCUUAGCUGGCUGAGAGGAUGAUCAGCCACACUGGGACUGAGACACGGCCCAGACUCCUACGGGAGGCAGCAGUGGGGAAUAUUGGACAAUGGGCGAAAGCCUGAUCCAGCAAUGCCGCGUGAGUGAUGAAGGCCUUAGGGUUGUAAAGCUCUGUCGG